MicroRNA precursor from Medicago truncatula (barrel medic), 74 nucleotides. It matches the Rfam family "MIR5272 microRNA precursor family". The record is from Rfam. NCBI's taxonomy places the organism in Eukaryota, Viridiplantae, Streptophyta, Magnoliopsida, Fabales, Fabaceae.
UUGGAAGUGAAUUGAUUUAUGUUUGGAUACACUUUACUAGAAGUGAUUCUUACGAAUUGAUGUUGUUUGGAUAG